CCUACGGGAGGCAGCAGUGGGGAAUCUUGCGCAAUGGGCGAAAGCCUGACGCAGCAACGCCGCGUGGGGGAUGAAGGCUCUCGGGUUGUAAACCCCUUUCAGCAGGGACGAAUCAAGACGGUACCUGCAGAAGAAGCCCCGGCUAACUACGUGCCAGCAGCCGCGGUAACACGUAGGGGGCAAGCGUUGUCCGGAUUUAUUGGGCGUAAAGAGCUCGUAGGUGGCUGAGUAAGUCGGAUGUUAAAUCCCCAGGCUCAACCUGGGACACCACCCGAUACUGCUCUGGCUAGAGUCCGGUAGGGGAGCGUGGAAUUCCUGGUGUAGCGGUGAAAUGCGCAGAUAUCAGGAGGAACACCAGCGGCGAAGGCGGCGCUCUGGGCCGGUACUGACACUGAGGAGCGAAAGCGUGGGUAGCAAACAGGAUUAGAUACCCUGGUAGUCCACGCCGUAAACGUUGGGCACUAGGUGUGGGGUCUAUUCAACGGACUCCGUGCCGUAGCUAACGCAUUAAGUGCCCCGCCUGGGGAGUACGGCCGCAAGGCUAAAACUCAAAGGAAUUGACGG
This 564-nucleotide ribosomal RNA is filed under the name uncultured bacterium. RNAcentral's name for it is "bacterial SSU rRNA". It matches the Rfam family "Bacterial small subunit ribosomal RNA", at positions 338 to 916 of the family's 1533-position model. The record is from RNAcentral.